This 257-nucleotide ribosomal RNA is filed under the name uncultured prokaryote. RNAcentral's name for it is "partial 16S ribosomal RNA". It matches the Rfam family "Bacterial small subunit ribosomal RNA", at positions 524 to 780 of the family's 1533-position model. The record is from RNAcentral.
UACGGAGGAUGCAAGCGUUAUCCGGAUUUAUUGGGUUUAAAGGGUGCGCAGGUUGUUUGAUAAGUCAGUGGUGAAAGUCUGUCGCUUAACGGUAGGAUUGCCAUUGAUACUGUUGGACUUGAAUAUGGAUGAGGUAGGCGGAAUGUGUAGUGUAGCGGUGAAACGCAUAGAUAUUACACAGAAAACCGAUUGCGAAGGCAGCUUACUAAUCCAUCAUUGACGCUGAGGCACGAAAGCGUGGGGAUCAAACAGGAUUA